UGGGGAAUAUUGGACAAUGGGGGGAACCCUGAUCCAGCCAUGCCGCGUGUGUGAAGAAGGCCUUAUGGUUGUAAAGCACUUUAAGCGAGGAGGAGGCUACUUUAGUUAAUACCUAGAGAUAGUGGACGUUACUCGCAGAAUAAGCACCGGCUAACUCUGUGCCAGCAGCCGCGGUAAUACAGAGGGUGCAAGCGUUAAUCGGAUUUACUGGGCGUAAAGCGCGCGUAGGCGGCUAAUUAAGUCAAAUGUGAAAUCCCCGAGCUUAACUUGGGAAUUGCAUUCGAUACUGGUUAGCUAGAGUGUGGGAGAGGAUGGUAGAAUUCCAGGUGUAGCGGUGAAAUGCGUAGAGAUCUGGAGGAAUACCGAUGGCGAAGGCAGCCAUCUGGCCUAACACUGACGCUGAGGUGCGAAAGCAUGGGGAGCAAACAGGAUUAGAUACCCAAGUAGUCCCUGAGCGGGCUGGCAAGGCGCAU
RNAcentral lists this ribosomal RNA (473 nucleotides) under uncultured bacterium. RNAcentral describes it as "bacterial SSU rRNA". It matches the Rfam family "Bacterial small subunit ribosomal RNA", at positions 355 to 825 of the family's 1533-position model. The record is from RNAcentral.